This 934-nucleotide ribosomal RNA is filed under the name uncultured bacterium. Its description in RNAcentral is "bacterial SSU rRNA". It matches the Rfam family "Bacterial small subunit ribosomal RNA", at positions 8 to 916 of the family's 1533-position model. The record is from RNAcentral.
AGAGUUUGAUCAUGGCUCAGGACGAACGCUGGCGGCGUGGAUAAGGCAUGCAAGUCGAACGGGAUGGAGUCGCAAGCAAUUGCUUCUCCUGAGAGUGGCGAACGGGUGAGUAACACGUGGGUAACAUACCUCCGGGUGGGGGAUAACCCAGGGAAACCUGGGCUAAUACCGCAGAUGUCGGAUCGUCCAUGACGGACUGACUAAAGGUGGGGACCUUCGGGCCCGCCGCCUGGAGAUUGGCCCGCGCCCCAUUAGCUUGUUGGCGGGGUAAUGGCCCACCAAGGCGACGAUGGGUAGCCGGCCUGAGAAGGUGUCCGGCCACACUGGGAUUGAGAUACGGCCCAGACUCCUUCGGGAGGCAGCAGUCGAGGAUCUUCCACAAUGGGCGAAAGCCUGAUGGAGCGACGCCGCGUGAGGGAUGAAGGCCCUUUGGGUUGUAAACCUCUGUUAGGGGAGAAGAACAGCGGGGGGAGCAACAUGCCCUCCGCCUGACGUUAUCCCCAGAGAAAGCUCCGGCCAACUCCGUGCCAGCAGCCGCGGUAAUACGGGGGGAGCGAGCGUUGUCCGGAAUCAUUGGGCGUAAAGGGCGUGUAGGCGGCUGGGCAAGUCGAAUGUGAAAUCCCACGGCUCAACCGUGGAACUGCGUUCGAAACUGCCCUGCUUGAGUGCGGGAGAGGUGUGCGGAAUUCCUGGUGUAGCGGUGGAAUGCGUAGAUAUCAGGAAGAACACCGGUGGCGAAGGCGGCACACUGGCCUGGCACUGACGCUGAGGCGCGAAAGCGUGGGGAGCGAACGGGAUUAGAUACCCGGGUAGUCCUGGCCGUAAACGAUGGACGCUAGGUGUGGGCGGUUUAUCCGUCUGUGCCGAAGUUAACGCGUUAAGCGUCCCGCCUGGGGAGUACGAUCGCAAGGUUGAAACUCAAAGGAAUUGACGG